This 72-nucleotide non-coding RNA is filed under the name Phaeomonas parva. The record is from RNAcentral. Lineage: Eukaryota; Pinguiophyceae; Pinguiochrysidales; Pinguiochrysidaceae.
CAAAAAAAAAAAAAAAAAAAAAAAGGAAAAGGGAAAGGGAAAAGCUUUGGUUUUGGUUUUGGUUUUAGUUUU